UAAUAUGCAUGACAGAAGAAGAGAAGAAAAAGGAUCUGCAUUGUGCGGUGCACUAGCAUUUUUAGUAUAAGUUAAAAGAUUUACUGAAAAGCAAGCGCUAUCCCCUCCCCAGGGCAGCGUCAUUUUAAAGAGGGGUGUCAUCUUUUUUUAAUCUGUCUUCAAACUUAGAAAUGAUUGUGUGGUGAUCAUGUGAAAAUAAUAUGAUGCUGUAUGUUUUCUAGUUUUCAAAAUGGUAUACAUUGUUAGCCCAACAUAUUAAUUUUACACGUUGUAGGUGUUCCAUUCAAGAUGACAAAAACUUGUCAUCUCAAAUGUACAUUUUCUCAUAAAAUCCGAAGUGUAGAUUUUCUUUUUUUUUUUUUCUGCUUUCGAAAGAUGUGUUAAUGCUGAACCGAGAAUCGUAAAGUUCUUCAUGUUGGUUAGUUGAUUUAUUUGCAAUUUCAAUGAAAGCUCCCUUUUUCUGCUCCUUUUGAGUUGAUUUUAGGCAGGAGUAAUCAAACGAAUUGUUUGUAAAAAGUGAAAGUCUGAAAAAACAAGUAGCUUGUGUGUACGUAAAGCACAGGGGUGAGAAAAUCCUCAGCCGGGAAAGAGUUAAAUGAAAUGUUGGUGUGGGCUAGCCUCUGUGUUCAUGAUCCUGAUCCUCUGAUCUUAUAUUGUCACUCCAAUUUGGCAUUUGAUAGCUUCUGUUUGAAGUCACAGAUUUUCUAAUGAGCACAGUAACAUGUUCUUGCCAGUACAUGGGAUGUUCAUAUGCAUGAAUAUUUACUCCUGCCCAGAAGCUAACUUGAUAAAGGCAUAUUAAAAUUUGAUUCUGUAAUUAAAA
Long non-coding RNA from Pseudophryne corroboree (corroboree frog), 823 nucleotides. RefSeq lists it as uncharacterized. The transcript is spliced from 2 exons. The record is from RefSeq and is a predicted model, not a curated record. Lineage: Eukaryota; Metazoa; Chordata; Amphibia; Anura; Myobatrachidae.